GUCUCUUUGGAGACAUCCGAUAAAACUGGAAUGAUACAAAGAAGAUUAGCUUGGUCCUUGAAUAAGGAUGACCCAAAAAUCGAGAAAUUGUCCCCAAAAAAAAUAAUU
Small nuclear RNA from Rhododendron vialii, 108 nucleotides. The record is from RefSeq and is a predicted model, not a curated record. Lineage: Eukaryota; Viridiplantae; Streptophyta; Magnoliopsida; Ericales; Ericaceae.